GACGAACGCUGGCGGCGUGCUUAACACAUGCAAGUCGAACGGAAAGGCCCUGCUUGCAGGGUACUCGAGUGGCGAACGGGUGAGUAACACGUGGGUGAUCUGCCCUGCACUUCGUGAUAAGCCUGGGAAACUGGGUCUAAUACCGGAUAGGAGCCAUUUUUAGUGUGAUGGUUGGAAAGUUUUUUCGGUGUAGGAUGAGGUCGCGGCCUAUCAGCUUGUUGGUGGGGUAAUGGCCUACCAAGGCGGCUACGGGUAGCCGGCCUGAGAGGGUGGACGGCCAAAUUGGGACUGAGAUACGGCACAGACUCCUACGGGAGGAAGCAGUGGGGAAUAUUGAACAAUGGGCGCAAGGCUGAUGCAGCGACGCCGCGUGGGGGAGGACGGCCUUCGGGUUGAAAACUCAUUUCGCUAGGGACGAAGCUUUUUGUGACGGUACCUAGAGAAGAAGCACCGGCUAACUACGUG
Molecule: ribosomal RNA, 465 nt
Filed under: uncultured bacterium
Lineage: Bacteria
Description: partial 16S ribosomal RNA
Rfam family: Bacterial small subunit ribosomal RNA
Source: RNAcentral